Molecule: ribosomal RNA, 463 nt
Filed under: uncultured bacterium
Lineage: Bacteria
Description: partial 16S ribosomal RNA
Rfam family: Bacterial small subunit ribosomal RNA
Source: RNAcentral
GAUGAACGCUGACAGAAUGCUUAACACAUGCAAGUCUUUGGCGAAGCUGUGCUUGCACAGCCUAGCCAAGGCGGACGGGUGAGUAACGCGUAAGGAACUUGCCCUGCAGUCAGGGAUAACAGACGGAAACGACUGAUAAGACCUGGUAAAGUCAGGCGGACUCAUGUCCAGCCUGAUGAAAAGAGAUGCUGCAGGAGAGCCUUGCGCCCUAUUAGCUUGUUGGUGGGGUAACGGCCCACCAAGGCGAUGAGAGGUAGCCGGCCUGAGAGGGUGGACGGCCACAAGGGGACUGAGAUACGGCCCUUACUCCUACGGGAGGAAGGAGUGGGGAAUAAUGGACAAUGGGGGCAACCCUGAUCCAGCAAUUCUGUGUGCACGAUGAAGGUUUUCGGAGUGUAAAGUGCUUUCAGCAGGGAAGAAAAAAAUGACGGUACCUGCAGAAGAAGCGACGGCUAAAUACGUG